Molecule: unclassified non-coding RNA, 406 nt
Filed under: soil metagenome
Description: partial contains 5.8S ribosomal RNA, internal transcribed spacer 2, and large subunit ribosomal RNA
Rfam family: 5.8S ribosomal RNA (bases 1-121)
Source: RNAcentral
GAUGAAGAACGCAGCGAAAUGCGAUAAGUAAUGUGAAUUGCAGAAUUCAGUGAAUCAUCGAAUCUUUGAACGCACCUUGCGCCCUUUGGCCAUUCCGAAGGGCAUGCCUGUUUGAGUAUCAUGAACACCUCAACUCUUCAUGGUUUUCCGUGAUGAGCUUGGACUUUGGGGGUCUUGCUGGCCUAUGGUCAGCUCCUCUAAAAUAAAUCAGCUUGCCAGUGUUUGGUGGGUAUCACAGGUGUGAUAACUAUCUACGCUUGUGGUUUUCCACCAGGUAACCUUCAGCAGUGGAGGUUCGCUGGAGCUCACAGAUGUGUCUCUCCUCAGUGAGGACAGCUCUUUGAAUGUUUGAUCUCAAAUCAGGUAGGACUACCCGCUGAACUUAAGCAUAUCAAUAAGCGGAGUA